RNAcentral lists this ribosomal RNA (433 nucleotides) under uncultured bacterium. RNAcentral describes it as "partial 16S ribosomal RNA". It matches the Rfam family "Bacterial small subunit ribosomal RNA", at positions 29 to 507 of the family's 1533-position model. The record is from RNAcentral.
AACGAACGCUGGCGGCAUGCCUAACACAUGCAAGUCGAACGAGACCUUCGGGUCUAGUGGCGCACGGGUGCGUAACGCGUGGGAACCUGCCCUUAGGUUCGGAAGAACUCCCCGAAAGGGGUGCUAAUACCGGAUAAUGUCUUCGGACCAAAGAUUUAUCGCCUUUGGAUGGGCCCGCGUUGGAUUAGCUAGUUGGUAGGGUAAAAGCCUACCAAGGCGAGGAUCCAUAGCUGGUCUGAGAGGAUGAUCAGCCACACUGGGACUGAGACACGGCCCAGACUCCUACGGGAGGCAGCAGUGGGGAAUAUUGGACAAUGGGCGAAAGCCUGAUCCAGCAAUGCCGCGUGAGUGAUGAAGGCCUUAGGGUUGUAAAGCUAUUUUACCCGGGAUGAUAAUGACAGUACCGGGAGAAUAAGCUCCGGCUAACUCCGUG